CCGCGGGGAUGAUCCCCCUGAACUCUCUCUUGCCGAUGGCUCCCUGGGGAAACUCGUGACUCUCCUGAGCGGC
Molecule: small nucleolar RNA, 73 nt
Filed under: Pterocles gutturalis (yellow-throated sandgrouse)
Lineage: Eukaryota; Metazoa; Chordata; Aves; Pterocliformes; Pteroclidae
Description: Small nucleolar RNA SNORD26
Rfam family: Small nucleolar RNA SNORD26
About the family: U26 is a member of the C/D class of snoRNA which contain the C (UGAUGA) and D (CUGA) box motifs. U26 is encoded within the U22 snoRNA host gene (UHG) in mammals and is thought to act as a 2'-O-ribose methylation guide for ribosomal RNA.
Source: Rfam by way of RNAcentral